UAAAAAAUUUUGGCGGUAUUUUAAGCUUAUUAGAGGAAUUUGCUCUGUGAUGGACACAACGCCUUAAUCUUACUUAAUUUAGUAAUUUAAAUCAGUUUGUAUACCACUAUAUUAAUUAUAUUGAAUAGUUAUAUUUAAAAUUUUUUUUAAAAAAUAUAUUAAGUCAAGGUGCAUCUAAUAAUUAUGAAUGAAGUGAAUUACAUUAAUUUUAAUGUAAUUUUUUACAUGAAAAAAUUAAUUAGGAUUUAAUAGUAAAAUACUAAUAUUAUGAGUAUUUGAAUCAAGCUCUAAAAUAUGCACAUAUCGCCCGUCGCUCUCAGAAGUGAGAUAAGUCGUAACAAAGUAAAAAUACUGGAAAGUGUUUUUUAAAAUGAAAUCAUUCGAUGUUUCAUUUACAAUGAAAAUUUUGUUGUUUAACCAUUUUAA
RNAcentral lists this ribosomal RNA (426 nucleotides) under Ixodes scapularis (black-legged tick). RNAcentral's name for it is "partial 12S ribosomal RNA". Lineage: Eukaryota; Metazoa; Arthropoda; Arachnida; Ixodida; Ixodidae. The record is from RNAcentral.